This 894-nucleotide ribosomal RNA is filed under the name Escherichia coli. RNAcentral's name for it is "partial 23S ribosomal RNA". It matches the Rfam family "Bacterial large subunit ribosomal RNA", at positions 333 to 1230 of the family's 2925-position model. The record is from RNAcentral. Lineage: Bacteria; Pseudomonadati; Pseudomonadota; Gammaproteobacteria; Enterobacterales; Enterobacteriaceae.
UGGAAGCGUCUGGAAAGGCGCGCGAUACAGGGUGACAGCCCCGUACACAAAAAUGCACAUAUUGUGAGCUCGAUGAGUAGGGCGGGACACGUGGUAUCCUGUCUGAAUAUGGGGGGACCAUCCUCCAAGGCUAAAUACUCCUGACUGACCGAUAGUGAACCAGUACCGUGAGGGAAAGGCGAAAAGAACCCCGGCGAGGGGAGUGAAAAAGAACCUGAAACCGUGUACGUACAAGCAGUGGGAGCCUCUUUUAUGGGGUGACUGCGUACCUUUUGUAUAAUGGGUCAGCGACUUAUAUUCUGUAGCAAGGUUAACCGAAUAGGGGAGCCGAAGGGAAACCGAGUCUUAACUGGGCGUUAAGUUGCAGGGUAUAGACCCGAAACCCGGUGAUCUAGCCAUGGGCAGGUUGAAGGUUGGGUAACACUAACUGGAGGACCGAACCGACUAAUGUUGAAAAAUUAGCGGAUGACUUGUGGCUGGGGGUGAAAGGCCAAUCAAACCGGGAGAUAGCUGGUUCUCCCCGAAAGCUAUUUAGGUAGCGCCUCGUGAAUUCAUCUCCGGGGGUAGAGCACUGUUUCGGCAAGGGGGUCAUCCCGACUUACCAACCCGAUGCAAACUGCGAAUACCGGAGAAUGUUAUCACGGGAGACACACGGCGGGUGCUAACGUCCGUCGUGAAGAGGGAAACAACCCAGACCGCCAGCUAAGGUCCCAAAGUCAUGGUUAAGUGGGAAACGAUGUGGGAAGGCCCAGACAGCCAGGAUGUUGGCUUAGAAGCAGCCAUCAUUUAAAGAAAGCGUAAUAGCUCACUGGUCGAGUCGGCCUGCGCGGAAGAUGUAACGGGGCUAAACCAUGCACCGAAGCUGCGGCAGCGACGCUUAUGCGUUGUUGGGUA